RNAcentral lists this long non-coding RNA (322 nucleotides) under Scleropages formosus (Asian bonytongue). RNAcentral describes it as "lncRNA (ENSSFOG00015029560.1)". Lineage: Eukaryota; Metazoa; Chordata; Actinopteri; Osteoglossiformes; Osteoglossidae. The record is from RNAcentral.
UUUGUAUCAUAUUGCAAAUUGUUUAAGUCCUGUACUAGUGAAACAUUUGACACGAAGAAAUGGAAGACGCUGAAUUAUACGUUUGUCCUGAUAAUCCCACUGGAAUCCCAAAACAGAGAAAUAUAUGUUUUGUGAAAGAGAUGGACAACGUGUAUGAAAAUCUGCAGGUCCAACCUUGUCAUCUACAUGAACCAAAUGAAGAACCUAAGAAAAACAUGGCAGCAGCUCAGAGCUCUGGCCGGAGAGAGAUUUUGUACAAGCGAAUAUCAGUGGCGUUCUUCAGUCUGUGGAUCAUCACACUGAUCGCUCUCAUUGCUGGACU